RNAcentral lists this long non-coding RNA (463 nucleotides) under Elaeis guineensis (African oil palm). RNAcentral describes it as "long non-coding RNA (EGUI_LNC011608)". Lineage: Eukaryota; Viridiplantae; Streptophyta; Magnoliopsida; Arecales; Arecaceae. The record is from RNAcentral.
AUUAGCUAAUCUCUCGAGCAAAUCGCCAUCUGAUCUCCAUAGAUGUCUGCAAUUACAAUUUUUGUGUAAAAACUCUUCACCUGUCUCAUCUUGUGUUUGGUUUUGGGAUAAGGAAAAUGGGGAUAGUAAAAAUUAUGCUUGUUGGCAUAAUUAUUCUGCAGGUUUUGUUUUGUUUUUUGUUUUUUUUUUCCUUGCUACAUAUUCUUAUACCUAUUAGCCUGGUAAAAGUUAUGCUUCUUGUGAUGUUUCGUUGUAAUUUCUAGGAUAAGGUUAUUUUCACAUAAAAUGGAUAAAUAACAUGUUUACCCUCUCAUUAAUCGCUGGCCUAUUUAUUUUUGUAGGCAUUUUUGUUCAAAGAAAUGAUGAUCUCCUUACUAUAUAAAAAUAAAAUGAGUGAUUUGUUCCUCAAAUGGGAUGGAUAACUUUGUUAUAAGGAAAAGUACCACUGCUUAUAGUCCAACUA